UUUGAAAUCCGGCUUUCGGGCCCGACUUGUAAUCUGCAGAUGAGUCUUUUGGCGGAGCGCCGUCCAAGUUCCCUGGAACGGGACGCCGGAGAGGGUGAGAGCCCCGUACCGACGUGCGCCGAGUCUUUGCAAAGCUCAUUCGAAGAGUCGAGUAGUUUGGAAAUGCUGCUCAAAUUGUGGGGUAAAUCUCCCAUAAGGCUAAAUACUGGCCAGAGACCGAUAGCGCACAAGUAGCGUGAGCGAAAGAUGAAAAGAGCCUUGAACAAGGGCGUCAAAAAGCAUGUGAAAUUGUUGUGAGGGAAGCGCUCGAUGCCAGACGUGGAGGCGGUUGGUUACCCGGCGUUCUCGCCGGCGCACUCUGCCGUCUCCAGGCCAGCAUCAGUUCGGCUUGGGGCUCAAUGCAGUUGGGAACGUGGCUCCUCGGAGUGUUAUAGCCUAGCUGCGACGUCCUGGGCCGGACUGAGGAACGCGCAUCUGCCCGGAUGCUGGCGUAAUGGCUUCUAGCGACCCGUCUUGAAACACGGACCAAGGAGUUGACCUAACAUGCGAGUGUUUGGGUGUAAAGCCCUCACGCGCAGUGAAAGCGAACGCAGGUGGGAGCUUCGGCGCACCAUCGACCGAUCCUGAAGUUUACGGAUGGAUUUGAGUAAGAGCAUGUUGGGUCUGACCCGAAAGAAGGUGAACUAUGCAUGAAUAGGGUGAAGCCAGAGGAAACUCUGGUGGAGGCUCGCAGCGGUUCUGACGUGCAAAUCGAUCGUCAAAUUUGUGCAUGGGGGCGAAAGACCAAUCGAACCUUCUAGUAGCUGGGUCCUGCCGAAG
Molecule: ribosomal RNA, 819 nt
Filed under: Pleurothecium recurvatum
Lineage: Eukaryota; Fungi; Ascomycota; Sordariomycetes; Pleurotheciales; Pleurotheciaceae
Description: partial large subunit ribosomal RNA
Rfam family: Eukaryotic large subunit ribosomal RNA
Source: RNAcentral